GAAAACAUUCACCACACCAAGCUGCAUCAAGGUGAAGACUGGCAUGGCUCUGAUUCAGUUAAACACUGGACUUAUGUCAUAGGUAAAUAAAUAUGUUUCUAAUUCAAUUAACAUGCCAACCAAACUAUAUAUCUUAUUUGUAGAUAGAAUAUAUUGUUUUAGGGGAAGAAAUAUUAAUAGCGGAGAUUAAAUUAAAUCAUUUUUCGAUGUCUCAUCUCAACCCAACCAAAUAAUCUUGUUUCAUUUUAUUUUUCCUAAAAAUCUUCAAAUUACAUUUCUCAUAAAAAUAAUGUAAUAAUAUUAAAAAUAUAACUUUUUUAGAAUACAAUUAAAGACAAAAGUUUUGUCAACCAAUCAUGGCACAAGAUUAAAAAAAAAAAUAGUGAUGGAAGUCUUUGAUCCCUACGCCAGCAUAUCUAACAACUUUGGGCAAUUUAUCGUUUAAAAAUUAUAAUAUAUAAUAAUAAUAAUAAUAAUAAUAAUAAUAAUAAUAAUAAUAAUAAUAAUAACUCAACUUUACUUUAUUUGCUUUAGAUCUUUUUGCAAAAUUACAAGGAUGAAUAUACAAUUUAAAAGAUGCAGUAGAUUGUAGAGUAUGAAAAUAGAGAUAUGAUUAGACAUGUUGGAUAAGCGUUUCUAAUAUCAAACGUCAGUUAUACGCAAAGGACACAUAAAAAUCAAGUGGUAGUAUGAUUGAAAAAGACAGUGAAAUGACACAUAAAACAAGAGAAACACAAGAAGAACCGUCUAUUAGAAGAAGAAAAAAAAAGUGAAUAAAGGAGAAGAAAAAAAUUUCAAACCCUAAAUUAAGUUAGUAUAGUAGAAUAAGAUAAAAUAAUGAUGAAAAAAAUUAAUAAUCUUAAUGUAUUUUAGAACGGGACGGAUAACCCGGAGAGUGGCUCAAACCUGGUCCAUCUUUACUCUUAACCUUAUCCUGUGUUUUUCUUUUUCUUUUUUGUUCUUGUUUUUUUUAGACCGAGUGAAAUCUGGUCCAUCUUUUAUCGCUAAAUGUGAAAUUCCUACCCCACCAUUGCCUAUUUAAACAUCACUCAAACAAAAACAAAAAAACAAAGCAAUUUGGGUGAAUAUUGAGAAUUUAAUUAGUAUUUGUUAUGUAAAAAAUGUUUGAAAUUAAUGCAAUUAAUCUAGUUUGUAAAUAUUUCUAACUUAAAAUAUAACUUUCGUUCUUUAUCUUUUAUUUAGUAUUUAUUUUGAUUAUUUUUCUUUUCUUAAUUCGUCUUAUUUAUUAUUUUUUUUGUUAAAUAAGGACUAAAACAAAUAUUAUAUAAAAAAUAAAAGACAAAAAUAAAUAAAGGAACAAACCAAAUAAGAAAAAAAAGGAUAAAAGACCAAUUAAAAUAAAUAUGAAAUAAAAGAUAAAGAUCAAUAAAAUUAUAUUUUAACCAUUUUUAAAUAUAUUUAUUAAUUAAAGGAAUAUUAUUAAUCAUUUUGCAACUUUUUUUUGGAGAAUUAAAUUUCAUGAAGUUUCAAUAAGUAUUCCUUUAAAAAGUAUAUUUAUUAAGUAUAUACUAAACCAUAUUUUAAUAAGUAUAUUUUAAUAAAUAUAAAUAAACCACUUUAAUUUAAUCAAAGGUUCACAUUGAUUCUCUUAAAGUUUGUAGGUGAUCAUUAAUCUGUGUUUAAUCUUUCACGUGGCCAUAUCUAUCAGCUGACUCUUGCGCCAACACCACAACGUCGGUGGUUUUGUUUUUUUUUUUGUUGUUGAGGAAACGCGGGUGAUAAUUGCCUUCUUUGGUUUUCUAGCUUUUGCCGUUGAGUUACAGUGAUUUGAUGAACAAUUAAACAUGCAAAAAUUGAAACUCCCAAACUUGCAAACUACAAUAUUGGAGGUUCACUUUUGUUUAAAACCAAAAUUACAAUGAUCAAAUUUGUCGACUUUUUAAAUUUGAAAUUAACUUCGUAAAUCAAUAAAAAUAAGGAGAUUAAAAUUACAAUUAAACAAAAAAAAUUAUAUAUAAAAGUAGGAGUUGUUUAAUACGGUGGGCUUCACUCUUUUUUAUUAAAAAUUUAUAUUUGAUAUCCAUUUUUUUUUAUUAUAAAAUUUAUUUUUAACAAAAAAAAAAAUAGUAAAAGUUCAUCAUUAGACCGUUUUUAGAGUUUCACAAUAGACACAACCAUGAAGUAAAAAACCAGAAAUAUUUGAAAAAUAGAAACAAUAUAACUAUCUAUUUUGUAUUACAAACGGAUCCUUAUUUGUUUUUCUUCUAUAAUUCAAACUUUUAUUAAUUGUAAUUAUAUACAACAUUUUUAUCUUCUUGGUAUUAAUUGUACGUGACAUUACAAUAGAUGGCAAGGUACACACAUGUAAGGAGAGUAUUGAAGAAGUUGAUGAACAAAACAAGAAAAUCACUUACAAGCUAUUUGGUGGAGAUAUUGAUGAGCACUAUAAGAUCUUUAAAUUUAUCCUCGAAAUAUUUGAUAAGAACGAUGGAAGUGCAGUAGUUAAGUGGAGUG
Molecule: long non-coding RNA, 2475 nt
Filed under: Cicer arietinum (chickpea)
Lineage: Eukaryota; Viridiplantae; Streptophyta; Magnoliopsida; Fabales; Fabaceae
Description: long non-coding RNA (CARI_LNC002492)
Source: RNAcentral